AUACGCAAAGUAACGAGCAAGGAGCAACUGAGUUUUUCUUUCUCUUCCCUUUUCUUUUCCUCUUUGAGAUAUUUCCCACUUUCCCCUGUUAAAUAAAUGAUCUGUCUCUUUGCAGGAUAGUGACAACCUCUGGUGGGAUGCCUUUGCCACUGAAUUUUUUGAAGAUGACGCCACAUUAACCCUUUCAUUUUGUUUGGAAGAUGGACCAAAGCGAUACACUAUCGGCAGGACCCUCAUCCCCCGUUACUUUAGCACUGUGUUUGAAGGAGGGGUGACCGACCUGUAUUACAUUCUCAAACACUCGAAAGAGUCAUACCACAACUCAUCCAUCACGGUGGACUGCGACCAGUGUACCAUGGUCACCCAGCACGGGAAGCCCAUGUUUACCAAGGUAUGUACAGAAGGCAGACUGAUCUUGGAGUUCACCUUUGAUGAUCUCAUGAGAAUAAAAACAUGGCACUUUACCAUUAGACAAUACCGAGAGUUAGUCCCGAGAAGCAUCCUAGCCAUGCAUG
This 515-nucleotide small RNA is filed under the name Pongo abelii (Sumatran orangutan). Its description in RNAcentral is "retained intron". The record is from RNAcentral. Lineage: Eukaryota; Metazoa; Chordata; Mammalia; Primates; Hominidae.